UACGGGGGGGGCAAGCGUUGUUCGGAAUUACUGGGCGUAAAGGGCGCGUAGGCGGCCUGCUAAGUCACACGUGAAAUCCCUCGGCUCAACCGGGGAACUGCGUGUGAUACUGGCGGGCUUGAAUUCGGGAGAGGGAUGUGGAAUUCCAGGUGUAGCGGUGAAAUGCGUAGAUAUCUGGAGGAACACCGGUGGCGAAGGCGGCAUCCUGGGCCGGCAUUGACGCUGAGGCGCGAAAGCCAGGGGAGCAAACGGG
RNAcentral lists this ribosomal RNA (253 nucleotides) under uncultured bacterium. RNAcentral's name for it is "partial 16S ribosomal RNA". It matches the Rfam family "Bacterial small subunit ribosomal RNA", at positions 524 to 776 of the family's 1533-position model. The record is from RNAcentral.